Chryseobacterium formosense is the source of this 67-nucleotide non-coding RNA. The record is from Rfam. NCBI's taxonomy places the organism in Bacteria, Pseudomonadati, Bacteroidota, Flavobacteriia, Flavobacteriales, Weeksellaceae.
UCCUAUCCCCGAUUGCAAUGAAAAUCCUUUUUUGAAAAAAAGAUUGUAAUGGAAAGCGGGAAAUAGA